UACGAAGGGGGCUAGCGUUGUUCGGAAUUACUGGGCGUAAAGCGCGCGUAGGCGGCGACCUUUGUCAGAGGUGAAAUCCCGAGGCUCAACUUCGGAAUUGCCUUUGAAACGGGGUUGCUUGAGUCCGAGAGAGGAUGGCGGAAUUCCUAGUGUAGAGGUGAAAUUCGUAGAUAUUAGGAAGAACACCGGUGGCGAGGGCGGCCAUCUGGCUCGGUACUGACGCUCAGGCGCGAAAGCGUGGGGAGCAAACAGG
RNAcentral lists this ribosomal RNA (253 nucleotides) under uncultured bacterium. Its description in RNAcentral is "partial 16S ribosomal RNA". It matches the Rfam family "Bacterial small subunit ribosomal RNA", at positions 524 to 776 of the family's 1533-position model. The record is from RNAcentral.